UACGGAGGGUACAAACGUUGUUCGGAAUCACUGGGCAUAAAGCGCGCGUAGGCGGUCUACCCAGUUAGGUGUGAAAGCCCUCGGCUCAACCGAGGAAUUGCAUCUAAUACUAGUAGGCUUGAGGAUGGUAGGGGUGUGUGGAACUUCAGGUGGAGCGGUGAAAUGCGUAGAUAUCUGAAGGAACACCUGUGGCGAAAGCG
This 200-nucleotide ribosomal RNA is filed under the name uncultured bacterium. RNAcentral's name for it is "partial 16S ribosomal RNA". It matches the Rfam family "Bacterial small subunit ribosomal RNA", at positions 524 to 723 of the family's 1533-position model. The record is from RNAcentral.